UACGGAGGAUGCGAGCGUUAUCCGGAUUUAUUGGGUUUAAAGGGUGCGCAGGCGGCGAGUCAAGUCAGCGGUCAAAAUUCGGUGCUCAACGCCGUACCGCCGUUGAAACUGGCGCGCUCGAGUGCGUGGGAGGAUUGCGGAAUGCGCGGUGUAGCGGUGAAAUGCAUAGAUAUCGCGCAGAACUCCGAUUGCGAAGGCAGCAGUCCAUCACGCUACUGACGCUCAUGCACGAAAGCGUGGGUAUC
RNAcentral lists this ribosomal RNA (245 nucleotides) under uncultured Porphyromonadaceae bacterium. Its description in RNAcentral is "partial 16S ribosomal RNA". It matches the Rfam family "Bacterial small subunit ribosomal RNA", at positions 524 to 769 of the family's 1533-position model. The record is from RNAcentral. Lineage: Bacteria; Pseudomonadati; Bacteroidota; Bacteroidia; Bacteroidales; Porphyromonadaceae.